RNAcentral lists this unclassified non-coding RNA (229 nucleotides) under plant metagenome. Its description in RNAcentral is "partial contains small subunit ribosomal RNA, internal transcribed spacer 1, and 5.8S ribosomal RNA". The record is from RNAcentral.
UCUCCGUAGGUGAACCUGCGGAGGGAUCAUUACAGAGUUUUUGCCCGCAAGGGUAGAUCUCCCACCCUAUGUUAUUCCUUCUCUGUUGCUUUGGCGGGCCGUCCGGCCUCGGUCAGGCCACCGGCUCCGGCUGGUGCGCGCCCGCCAGAGGACCCCAAACCCUAAAUGUCAGUGUCGUCUGAGUACUAUAUAAUAGCUAAAACUUUCAACAACGGAUCUCUUGGUUCUG